RNAcentral lists this long non-coding RNA (284 nucleotides) under Mytilus galloprovincialis (Mediterranean mussel). Lineage: Eukaryota; Metazoa; Mollusca; Bivalvia; Mytilida; Mytilidae. The record is from RNAcentral.
CUUUUUGCACAUGUUAUCAGAAUUGUGACACCCCCUUUUUUCAUUCAGUUAUACAAGUUUGUCGUAAAUAUGAACACGGUUUAAUUGUCAAUAGCAAAGAACAUAAGUUAUGUACAUCAACCUAUCAUGACUAUUAUUCUCUUCUUUGUCAAGCUAGCUUAAACUCUGUUGAUAUAUGUAACCUCAUACCAAAUUUAAAAAGUAUAAAAUUAUCGAAUACAAUCUGUUUUACAAACUUUGGAGCCAUGUUAUAUACCAAAAUGUUAUAUUAAAUUGUAAAAAAA